GAUGAAGAACGUAGCGAAAUGCGAUAAGUAAUGUGAAUUGCAGAAUUCAGUGAAUCAUCGAAUCUUUGAACGCACAUUGCGCCCGCCAGUAUUCUGGCGGGCAUGCCUGUUCGAGCGUCAUUUCAACCAUCAAGCCCCCGGCUUGUGUUGGGGACCUGCGGCUGCCGCAGGCCCUGAAAACCAGUGGCGGGCUCGCUAGUCACUCCGAGCGUAGUAAUACAUCUCGCUCAGGGCGUGCUGCGGGUUCCGGCCGUUAAAAGCCUUAUUUACCCAAGGUUGACCUCGGAUCAGGUAGGAAGUCCCGCUGAACUUAAGCAUAUCAAUAAGCGGAGGA
Molecule: unclassified non-coding RNA, 334 nt
Filed under: soil metagenome
Description: partial contains 5.8S ribosomal RNA, internal transcribed spacer 2, and large subunit ribosomal RNA
Rfam family: 5.8S ribosomal RNA (bases 1-120)
Source: RNAcentral